Long non-coding RNA from Neofelis nebulosa (Clouded leopard), 3419 nucleotides. RefSeq lists it as uncharacterized. The record is from RefSeq and is a predicted model, not a curated record. The transcript has 4 exons. Lineage: Eukaryota; Metazoa; Chordata; Mammalia; Carnivora; Felidae.
CCCCGCCGAGGGGAGUGGGGGCGGCACUGCUUGGCACCAGCCCGGACGGGGUGGUGGGGCUGGCCGGGCGUCGCCGCGGCUUGGGGGCGCGGGAACCGCACCCUGGGCGGACGGGGACCCGCCAGGCGCUGGCAUUGUCCGACCACGGCUUCUGAUUGGCCGGCUGGAAGGGGCUCGGGACCUCUGUCCCGCGUCACAGAGCCAGCACCCGCCCCGGCUCCCGAGCUCUCUCCCCGCGGGGUCCCGGGGACCGUCCCACCCUGACUCCCUGGGCCGCGCGAGGGUUGCCCCCUCUGGGGCGUCCCCGCUCCGGGUAUCCGGGAGGCAGGGGGGCGGCGCUGCUGGAGGAGGCGGGGAGGGGAAGGGGGCCGCAGGGCUGGCCAGCUACUGACACAGCGCACCGUGCUGGGGGCUUGGCAUCCGCUCGUUCACAAGCCUGGCUCAAAAGGGGGUAACGGCUCAGAAAGGAAUUCUUGGCUUCUGGAAAGAGUGGUGUCAUUGAGGAAUUCCCCAGCUGGGCACCGGCUUCCCUUUUACUUCUUGCUAGAGCCUCUGCCCCUUCCAACCUUUUGUUUGCCUCUGCCCUUGGUCUCUCUCCCCCAAUGUGUGGAUUCCUGCUCCCCGUACCAGCUGGGCAAAGAUCUCUGAGGGCUGCAUAGACGGCCAGGGGACGACAGCCAGUGGGGCAGGUGCUGCUUUUAUCCCGUCUGGAGAGAUGAGGAAACCUCCCCAAGAGGCCAGACACUUCCAGAGAAGGCCAGCCAAGGAUUCCACCCUCAGCAGGAAAUGAGCAUCAGAUGCUGGUUGGGGGUGUUCCUGCCAGCUGCUGUCCCAGUGGCCACCUCCCUGAGGGAUGGGUAGGGGAGAGCAGACCAGCUCCACCCGGAAGAGAGGGGUGGACAGCAGGCAGAGCAGAGUGGCAUCAGACCCCUCCAGCCCAGCCCGGAAGUCAAGUGUAUCAGCUCCCGGCCAGCAGUAGCGGUCAGCUCCUCACCGGCAGCCCAGGGCUCAGAAGCCCGGGACAAAGUGAGUCGGCCUCCCUUCCCUCUGCUCAGAAAUGACAGCUGGUUGGUUUUUAAAGUUGUGAUGAAGUACGCAUAACGUAAUUUCCCAUUUUGACCAUCUUAAGUAUACGGUUCGGUGGUGUGUACAUUAUUAUGCAAUAUUAUUAUUACUUCACCACCAUCCCUCUCCAGAACAUUUUUCACCUUGCAAGAAUGAAAUUCUGUACUUAUUAAACGUUAACUCCCCGUUUCUUCUUCCCCGAGCCCCUGGCAACCACUGUUCCAUUUUCUCUUUGUAAACUGGACUAUUCCAAGCACCUCAUAGAAGUGGAAUCAUAACAGCAUUACUCCUUUUGUAACUGGCUUAUGUCACUCAGCACGAUGCCCCCAAGGGUCACCCAUGUUGUAGCUGAGUCAGACUCUCCUUCCUUUUUCCAACUGAAUAUUUCAUUGUUUAUGCAACACGGCCUGUCAGUGGACGCUUGGAUUGCUGCUACCCUGUGGCCGUCGUGAGUGAUGCUGCUUUGAACGUGGGUGUGCAAAUACCUGUUUGAGACCCUGCUUUCAAUUCUGAGGGUGGUCAGUUGACGUGUGUUGGCCUCCACAGGUGCCGAGCUCUGUUCUAAGUGCUUUACGCGCAUUAGCAGACACUCCUUCAUUAUCCCCUUUUCACAGACGAGGGAAACAGAGGCACAGAUAGGUCCAGUCAUGUGCAGAAGGAGGGUGCAGCUUGGAGCAAGGGUCAGCAGGUGCAAAGGCCCAGGGAGGGGAUCGCACAGGAAUGAAGGGCUGGGCUUCACUGGGAAGACCGGCCAAAGUGCCUUGGUCGCAAGGGCAGUGUUGACCGUGUGGUGGACUCCCCAGGACUGCGUGUCUAGGGCAUUCCAGGAUGUCACUGAGCCCUUUCCCCAUGGCACAGGCCACUUCCUUUUGCGAGACGACUAUGCAUUUACCACCGCCCUAAACCAGCUCUCCAGUCCUACUUCUCCCUGUCCGUCUCAGGCCAUCACCCAACCUGGGACCCUUCCCUCAUCCUGGGGACGCCCCACUCACCAACGGCACUGGGCAGAGCCAUUGUAUCCCCUGUUGACAGAUGAGGACACUGAGUCUCAGAGUGUAAGUGGACACAGAGUUUGAGGCCUUGAGGCUGUGGUCCCUGCUGCCACUGACCUUUCCCAAAAGGGGAAGUCACUUGUUCAAGGGUAUCUGAAGUUGCACCAGACCUCAGCUGGAGUCUGCUGACCUCCCCAGGGACCACGGGACGGCCAGGACAGCUGACCGGGAACCUCCCUCACAGGGCAUGCCCGCCCUCGCGCGCACUCACCAGGCCAAAUGUUUACCAAUAGAUAGUGCCCCUCCCAUCACCCAUGAAGCCUCUCCCCUCCCCCCUCCCCCAGAGGAAGCCGGCAGCACAAUCCCUUCAGCGUCUGCCUGAUGGAGAAACUGAGGCAGGGGAAAUGGCUCCUGCAGCUGUUCCAUGAGACUGGCCCACCUCAAGCCCAGCACUCUUCCAAGGAGUGCAGGGCAGUGCAAGUCAAGUUCAGCUCCUGUCUCUUCUGGCCUGGGGCUGCCCUGGGGCCCUUCUCCGAGUCCGUGGGAUUUCCAGGAAAACGGCCAGGAGGCUUGCUCCCCCAAAGGCCCCACCAAUGGCAGAGGCAAGUCGCAUGGCAGGGGCUCUCUGGGAAUCCCAGCACCACAUGGGCCUGGCCAGGCAGGGACGACAGGGAUGCUUCCCCGCAGCCUCUCAGGGCCUGGGUGCUGAGAACUCCCCCUCAUCCGACAGGGCACGGGAAGCUGCGAGCUUCUGGAUUUUGGAGAAGGAAGGCAUGAUGAUGGGGAUUUGGGCGCGAAGACCACCUGGCCCCUGGGGAGCUGCGUCACUCACAUCUGUAUUUUCAGACACGUGGCUCCAUCCCUCAGGCCUCAGUCUUCCCUCCUGGAAGUGGAGGGGACACAAGCUCAGGAGGUUGCCAGGAAAGGCUUACGAGAGACGUGCGUGCAAAGAGCAGUAACGCUCCUCUUGGACUGCCCGCGUCCCCAACCGCCUCCAGCAAGAGGUUUCAUGGAUGCCUGACAUUUCGUUAUUCAUGUAUAUUCCUCGGAUGAGCAUCGCUUUUUACAAAGGCCAGUAUCCUGUGAGGAUCCCCUGCUUGCUUCUGGGGAAGGAUAUAGGGGAUGGGAAUAUGGAGACAUCUCACCUUAUAACCUUUUUGUACGUUUACAAUUCUGAGCUAUGUGGGGGCGCCUGGGUGGCUCCCUCAGUUAAGCAUCUGACUCUUGAUUGAAAUCAAGAUCAUAUCUCACAGUUUGUGAGUUCGAGCCCCGCGUCAGGGUUUGUGUGGACAGCACCGAGCCUGCUUGGGGUUCUCUCUCUCCCUCUCUCUCUCAAAAUCAGUAAGUAAACAUUAACAAAAA